GAAAUGCGAUAAGUAGUGUGAAUUGCAGAAUUCAGUGAAUCAUCGAAUCUUUGAACGCACAUUGCGCCCCUUGGUAUUCCAUGGGGCAUGCCUGUUCGAGCGUCAUUUGUACCCUCAAGCUAUGCUUGGUGUUGGGUGUUUGUCCUCUCCUUGUGUUUGGACUCGCCUCAAAGACAUUGGCAGCCAGUGUAUUGGUCUUGAAGCGCAGCACAAUUUGCGAUUCUGGCUGAUAAUCUAGCGUCCAUUAAGCCUCUUUUAUCACUUUUGACCUCGGAUCAGGUAGGGAUACCCGCUGAACUUAA
RNAcentral lists this unclassified non-coding RNA (302 nucleotides) under uncultured fungus. Its description in RNAcentral is "sequence contains ITS1". The stretch from base 1 to 105 matches the Rfam family "5.8S ribosomal RNA", at positions 50 to 154 of the family's 154-position model. Lineage: Eukaryota; Fungi. The record is from RNAcentral.